GACGAACGCUGGCGGCGUGCUUAACACAUGCAAGUCGAACGGAAAGGCCCUGCUUGCCGGGUGCUCGAGUGGCGAACGGGUGAGUAACACGUGGGUGAUCUGCCCCUUACUCUGGGAUAAGCCUGGGAAACUGGGUCUAAUACUGGAUAGGACCAUGCUGUAGGUGGUGUGGUGGAAAGAUUAGUUUCGGUAAGGGAUGAGCUCGCGGCCUAUCAGCUUGUUGGUGGGGUAAUGGCCUACCAAGGCGUCGACGGGUAGCCGGCCUGAGAGGGUGGACGGCCACAUUGGGACUGAGAUACGGCCCAGACUCCUACGGGAGGCAGCAGUGGGGAAUAUUGCACAAUGGGCGCAAGCCUGAUGCAGCGACGCCGCGUGGGGGAUGACGGCCUUCGGGUUGUAAACUCCUUUCAGCCAUGACGAAGCCCUUGUGGUGACGGUAGUGGUAGAAGAAGCACCGGCUAACUACGUG
RNAcentral lists this ribosomal RNA (469 nucleotides) under uncultured bacterium. RNAcentral describes it as "partial 16S ribosomal RNA". It matches the Rfam family "Bacterial small subunit ribosomal RNA", at positions 28 to 507 of the family's 1533-position model. The record is from RNAcentral.